UUCCAGCUCCAAUAGCGUAUAUUAAAGUUGUUGCAGUUAAAAAGCUCGUAGUUGGAUCUCAGGGUGAGCUCAGUUGGUCGGCCUAAUUGGUCAGAACUGGCUGACUCUCCCUUGUUUCUGAAUCCCGGUCGGAGUUAAUUCUUCGUUCGUGGACUUCAGAUCGUUUACCUUGAAAAAAUUAGAGUGUUCAAAGCGGGCGUUUGCUUGAAUACAUUAGCAUGGAAUAAUGGAAUAGGACCCUGGUUCUAUUUUGUUGGUUUUGAGGACCAGAGUAAUGAUUAAUAGGGAUAGUUGGGGGCAUUCAUAUUUAAUUGUCAGAGGUGAAAUUCUUGGAUUUAUGAAAGAUGAACUUCUGCGAAAGCAUUUGCCAAGGAUGGUUUCAUUG
Molecule: ribosomal RNA, 385 nt
Filed under: Telonemia sp.
Lineage: Eukaryota; Telonemia
Description: partial small subunit ribosomal RNA
Rfam family: Eukaryotic small subunit ribosomal RNA
Source: RNAcentral